This 960-nucleotide ribosomal RNA is filed under the name Arenibacter sp. SUW. RNAcentral's name for it is "bacterial SSU rRNA". It matches the Rfam family "Bacterial small subunit ribosomal RNA", at positions 33 to 989 of the family's 1533-position model. Lineage: Bacteria; Pseudomonadati; Bacteroidota; Flavobacteriia; Flavobacteriales; Flavobacteriaceae. The record is from RNAcentral.
GUGGAUUCGGCAGACUUAACACAUGCAAGUCGAGGGGCAGCAUUUCCAGCUUGCUGAGAAGAUGGCGACCGGCGCACGGGUGAGUAACGCGUAUAGAAUCUGCCCUUUACUGGGGAAUAGCCCGAAGAAAUUUGGAUCAAUGCCCCAUGGUCCCUUCUUGUGGAUUCACGAUUAGGGUAAAGGUUACGGUAAAGGAUGACUAUGCGUCCCAUUAGUUAGUUGGUAGGGUAACGGCCUACCAAGACCGCGAUGGGUAGGGGCCCUGAGAGGGGGAUCCCCCACACUGGUACUGAGACACGGACCAGACUCCUACGGGAGGCAGCAGUGAGGAAUAUUGGACAAUGGGCGAGAGCCUGAUCCAGCCAUGCCGCGUGCAGGAAGACGGUCCUAUGGAUUGUAAACUGCUUUUAUACGGGAAGAACCUAGGGCACGUGUGCUCUACUGACGGUACCGUAAGAAUAAGGAUCGGCUAACUCCGUGCCAGCAGCCGCGGUAAUACGGAGGAUCCGAGCGUUAUCCGGAAUCAUUGGGUUUAAAGGGUCCGUAGGCGGGCCAUUAAGUCAGGGGUGAAAGUCUGCGGCUCAACCGUAGAAUUGCCCUUGAUACUGGUGGUCUUGAGUUAUGGUGAAGUAACUAGAAUAUGUGGUGUAGCGGUGAAAUGCAUAGAUAUCACAUAGAAUACCGAUUGCGAAGGCAGGUUACUAACCAUAUACUGACGCUGAUGGACGAAAGCGUGGGGGAGCGAACGGGAUUAGAUACCCCGGUAGUCCACGCCGGUAACGAUGGAUACUAGCUGUCCGGCAGCAAUGCUGGGUGGCUAAGCGAAAGUGAUAAGUAUCCCACCUGGGGAGUACGUUCGCAAGGAUGAAACUCAAAGGAAUUGACGGGGGCCCGCACAAGCGGUGGAUCAUGUGUUUUAUUUCGAUGAUACGCAAGGGACCUUACCAGGGCUUAGAUGAG